This 330-nucleotide unclassified non-coding RNA is filed under the name soil metagenome. RNAcentral's name for it is "partial contains 5.8S ribosomal RNA, internal transcribed spacer 2, and large subunit ribosomal RNA". The stretch from base 1 to 120 matches the Rfam family "5.8S ribosomal RNA", at positions 35 to 154 of the family's 154-position model. The record is from RNAcentral.
GAUGAAGAACGUAGCGAAAUGCGAUAAGUAAUGUGAAUUGCAGAAUUCAGUGAAUCAUCGAAUCUUUGAACGCACAUUGCGCCCCUUGGUAUUCCGAGGGGCAUGCCUGUUCGAGCGUCAUUUCAACCCUCAAGCACAGCUUGGUCUUGGGCUUCGCCGCUAACCCGGCGGGUCUUAAAAUCAGUGGCGGUGCCGUCGGGCCCUGAGCGCAGUAAUUUCUCUCGCUAUAGGGUCCCGGCGGAUGCUGGCCAGUAACCCCCAAUUUUCUAUGGUUGACCUCGGAUCAGGUAGGGGUACCCGCUGAACUUAAGCAUAUCAAUAAGCGGAGGA